Molecule: unclassified non-coding RNA, 276 nt
Filed under: Hevea brasiliensis (rubber tree)
Lineage: Eukaryota; Viridiplantae; Streptophyta; Magnoliopsida; Malpighiales; Euphorbiaceae
Source: RNAcentral
ACCGAUGCAUCCUGACCGGCGUCGGCAAUGAUCGGUGAGUAGGAUUCGGCCGAAAGGGUUUCGGUGAUGCCGCCGAGUAUCGGCGCGAACACCGGAUUGGCGAUGUCGGGCAGCAGAACGCCGAUCAGGCGCGAGCGUCCGGUUCGAAGGCUCGCCGCGACGCGAUGGCCGGUAGCCGUGCGCGCGGGCCAGUGUCUCGACCCGCGCCGCCACAUCCUCGCCGACCAAGUGGCGCUUCUGCGGGUCGAGCGCGCGCGACACGGUUGAGGGAUGCAC